RNAcentral lists this ribosomal RNA (440 nucleotides) under uncultured bacterium. RNAcentral describes it as "partial 16S ribosomal RNA". It matches the Rfam family "Bacterial small subunit ribosomal RNA", at positions 338 to 795 of the family's 1533-position model. The record is from RNAcentral.
CCUACGGGAGGCAGCAGUGGGGAAUAUUGCUCAAUGGGCGAAAGCCUGAAGCAGCCAAGUCGCGUGAGGGAAGACGGACCUCUGUGUUGUAAGCUUCAUUUACAGGGGAGUAAAAGGCGGUACCUGUGCAUGAUGCCCCGUCCAACUUCGUUCCGGCAGCGGCGGCAAUACGCAGGCGGCCAGCGUUAUCCGGAUUUACCGGGUGUAAAGGGAGCGUAGACGGGAGUGCAAGUCAGGAGUGAAAGGCGGGGGCUCAACCCUCGGAUAGCAAUGGAAACUGUAAGGCUGGAGUGCAGGAGAGGUAAGUGGAAUUCGUGGUGUAGCGGUGAAAUGCGUAGAUAUCACGAGGAACCCCAGUGGCGAAGGCAGCUUACUGGACUGUAACUGACGUUGAGGCUCGAAAGUGUGGGUAUCAAACAGGAUUAGAUACCCGAGUAGUC